CGGGUGAGUAACACGUGGAUAACCUACCUAUAAGACUGGGAUAACUUCGGGAAACCGGAGCUAAUACCGGAUAAUAUUUUGAACCGCAUGGUUCAAAAGUAAAAGACGGUCUUGCUGUCACUUAUAGAUGGAUCCGCGCUGCAUUAGCUAGUUGGUAAGGUAACGGCUUACCAAGGCAACGAUGCAUAGCCGACCUGAGAUGGUGAUCGGCCACACUGGAACUGAGACACGGUCCAG
Molecule: ribosomal RNA, 237 nt
Filed under: uncultured Staphylococcus sp.
Lineage: Bacteria; Bacillati; Bacillota; Bacilli; Caryophanales; Staphylococcaceae
Description: partial 16S ribosomal RNA
Rfam family: Bacterial small subunit ribosomal RNA
Source: RNAcentral